RNAcentral lists this ribosomal RNA (255 nucleotides) under uncultured bacterium. RNAcentral describes it as "partial 16S ribosomal RNA". It matches the Rfam family "Bacterial small subunit ribosomal RNA", at positions 30 to 286 of the family's 1533-position model. The record is from RNAcentral.
AUUGAACGCUGGCGGCAUGCCUUACACAUGCAAGUCGAACGGCAGCACGGGGGCAACCCUGGUGGCGAGUGGCGAACGGGUGAGUAAAGCAUCGGAACGUACCCGGAAGUGGGGAUAACGUAGCGAAAGUUACGCUAAUACCGCAUAUUCUGUGAGCAGGAAAGAGGGGGAUCGCAAGACCUCUCGCUUUCGGAGCGGCCGAUGUCGGAUUAGCUAGUUGGUGGGGUAAAGGCCUACCAAGGCGACGAUCCGUAG